RNAcentral lists this transfer RNA (73 nucleotides) under Paramuricea clavata. It matches the Rfam family "tRNA". From Rfam's summary of the family: Transfer RNA (tRNA) molecules are approximately 80 nucleotides in length. Their secondary structure includes four short double-helical elements and three loops (D, anti-codon, and T loops). The record is from Rfam by way of RNAcentral. Lineage: Eukaryota; Metazoa; Cnidaria; Anthozoa; Malacalcyonacea; Plexauridae.
GACCGCGUAGCUCAGUUGGCAGAGCAUUGGGCUGGUAUGCCAAAGGUCGUAGGUUCGAUUCCCACCGUGGUCA